CCUACUUCCAAUAUUUCAGUGGUAGAAUGCCUGCUUUCCAUGCAAAAGGUCCCAGGUUCCAUCACUGGAAUCUCCCAAGUAGGG
Podarcis lilfordi (Lilford's wall lizard) is the source of this 84-nucleotide non-coding RNA. NCBI's taxonomy places the organism in Eukaryota, Metazoa, Chordata, Lepidosauria, Squamata, Lacertidae. The record is from the annotation of a GenBank genome assembly.